This 317-nucleotide transfer-messenger RNA is filed under the name Salmonella enterica. Its description in RNAcentral is "partial transfer-messenger RNA". It matches the Rfam family "transfer-messenger RNA", at positions 1 to 327 of the family's 374-position model. Rfam says of the family: Bacterial tmRNA, also known as 10Sa RNA or SsrA, is named for its dual tRNA and mRNA-like properties. Its role is to liberate the mRNA from a stalled ribosome. The record is from RNAcentral. Lineage: Bacteria; Pseudomonadati; Pseudomonadota; Gammaproteobacteria; Enterobacterales; Enterobacteriaceae. RNAcentral also lists the same sequence under 6 other names.
GGGGCUGAUUCUGGAUUCGACGGGAUUUGCGAAACCCAAGGUGCAUGCCGAGGGGCGGUUGGCCUCGUAAAAAGCCGCAAAAAAAUAGUCGCAAACGACGAAAACUACGCUUUAGCAGCUUAAUAACCUGCUUAGAGCCCUCUCUCCCUAGCCUCCGCUCUUAGGACGGGGAUCAAGAGAGGUCAAACCCAAAAGAGAUCGCGCGGAUGCCCUGCCUGGGGUUGAAGCGUUAAAACGAAUCAGGCUAGUCUGGUAGUGGCGUGUCCGUCCGCAGGUGCCAGGCGAAUGUAAAGACAGACUAAGCAUGUAGUACCGAG